Molecule: ribosomal RNA, 500 nt
Filed under: Gnomonia monodii
Lineage: Eukaryota; Fungi; Ascomycota; Sordariomycetes; Diaporthales; Gnomoniaceae
Description: eukaryotic LSU rRNA
Rfam family: 5.8S ribosomal RNA (bases 189-342)
Source: RNAcentral
UCAUUGCUGGAAUUAGCGUCCUCACAGGCGCUACCCAGAAACCCUAUGUGAAUCUUACCCACUGUUGCCUCGGCAUUGAUUGGCUUUCUSGGAAGUCCCUCUAUAUUAUAUAGAGGAGCAGAUCGGCCGGUGGCCCUAUAAACCCUUGUCUUCGUACAUCAUYUGAGUAAAGAAACAAAAUAAAUCAAAACUUUCAACAACGGAUCUCUUGGUUCUGGCAUCGAUGAAGAACGCAGCGAAAUGCGAUAAGUAAUGUGAAUUGCAGAAUUCAGUGAAUCAUCGAAUCUUUGAACGCACAUUGCGCCCGGUGGUAUUCCACCGGGCAUGCCUGUUCGAGCGUCAUUUCACCCCUCAAAGCCUAGCUUUGGUGUUGGAGGAGUACCUGUAAUAGGGUACCCUCUGAAAUUUAGUGGCGGUCACGCUAGAAUUUUGAGCGUAGUAAUUUUACCUCGUUUGUAAAGACUAGUGGGUUCUUGCCGUAAAACCCCCCAACUUUCAGA